GAUGAAUAACGUAGCGAAAUGCGAUAAGUAAUGUGAAUUGCAGAAUUCAGUGAAUCAUCGAAUCUUUGAACGCACAUUGCGCCCGGUAGUAUUCUGCCGGGCAUGUCUGUUCGAGCGUCAUUUCAACCAUCAAGCCCCAGCGCUUGUGUUGGGGGCCUGCGGCUGCCGCAGCCCCCUAAAAGCAGUGGCGGGCUCGCUAUCACACCGAGUGCAGUAGUUCAUCUUCUCUCCGGUCUUGUGAGGCGGGUUCCGGCCGUGAAACACCCCACUACAUUCAAGGUUGACCUCGGAUCAGGUAGGAAUACCCGCUGAACUUAAGCAUAUCAAUAAGCGGAGGA
This 338-nucleotide unclassified non-coding RNA is filed under the name soil metagenome. Its description in RNAcentral is "partial contains 5.8S ribosomal RNA, internal transcribed spacer 2, and large subunit ribosomal RNA". The stretch from base 1 to 120 matches the Rfam family "5.8S ribosomal RNA", at positions 35 to 154 of the family's 154-position model. The record is from RNAcentral.